UGGGGAAUAUUGCACAAUGGGCGAAAGCCUGAUGCAGCAACGCCGCGUGAGGGACGACGGCCUUCGGGUUGUAAACCUCUUUUAGCAAGGAAGAAGCGAAAGUGACGGUACUUGCAGAAAAAGCGCCGGCUAACUACGUGCCAGCAGCCGCGGUAAUACGUAGGGCGCAAGCGUUAUCCGGAAUUAUUGGGCGUAAAGAGCUCGUAGGCGGUUUGUCGCGUCUGCUGUGAAAACCCGAGGCUCAACCUCGGGCCUGCAGUGGGUACGGGCAGACUAGAGUGCGGUAGGGGAGAUUGGAACUCCUGGUGUAGCGGUGGAAUGCGCAGAUAUCAGGAGGAACACCGAUGGCGAAGGCAGAUCUCUGGGCCGUAACUGACGCUGAGGAGCGAAAGGGUGGGGAGCAAACAGGCUUAGAUACCCUGGUAGUCCACCCCGUAAACGUUGGGAACUAGUUGUGGGGUCCAUUCCACGGAUUCCGUGACGCAGCUAACGCAUUAAGUUCCCCGCCUGGGGAGUACGGCCGCAAGGCUAAAACUCAAAUGAAUUGACGGGGUCAUAGCUGUUUCCU
Molecule: ribosomal RNA, 568 nt
Filed under: uncultured bacterium
Lineage: Bacteria
Description: partial 16S ribosomal RNA
Rfam family: Bacterial small subunit ribosomal RNA
Source: RNAcentral